GACGAACGCUGGCGGCGUGCUUAACACAUGCAAGUCGAACGCGCCUGUCCUCUGGGUUUCUGGGGGGUGGGUGAGUGGCGAACGGGUGAGUAACACGUGAGUAACCUGCCCCCUUCUUCGGGAUAACGGUCUGAAAGGGCUGCUAAUACCGGGUAUUCACUGGUCUCCGCAUGGGGUCUGGUGGAAAGGUUUUUUUCUGGUGGGGGAUGGGCUCGCGGCCUAUCAGCUUGUUGGUGGGGUGAUGGCCCACCAAGGCUUUGACGGGUAGCCGGCCUGAGAGGGUGACCGGUAACAUUGGGACUGAGAUACGGCCCAGACUCGUACGGGAGGCAGCAGUGGGGAAUAUUGCACAAUGGGAGCAAGCCUGAUGCAGCGACGCCGCGUGAGGGAUGGAGGCCUUCGGGUUGUGAACCUCUUUCGCCCGUGGUCAAGCCGCGACGUGGGUCGUGGUGAGGGUAGUGGGUAAAGAAGCGCCAGCUAACUACGUG
RNAcentral lists this ribosomal RNA (488 nucleotides) under uncultured bacterium. RNAcentral's name for it is "partial 16S ribosomal RNA". It matches the Rfam family "Bacterial small subunit ribosomal RNA", at positions 28 to 507 of the family's 1533-position model. The record is from RNAcentral.